UAUACGGGGGAYGCAAGCGUUAUCCGGAAUCAUUGGGCGUAAAGCGCCUGUAGGUUGUUUAAUAAGUCCGUUGUUAAAGACUAGGGCUUAACCCUAGAAAAGCAAUGGAAACUAUUAGACUAGAGUAUGGCAGGGGUAGAGGGAAUUUCUAGUGUAGCGGUGAAAUGCGUAGAUAUUAGAAAGAACACCGGCGGCGAAAGCGCUCUACUGGACCAUUACUGACACUCAGAGGCGAAAGCUAGGGUAGCAAAAGGGAUUAGAUACCCCUGUAGUCCUAGCCGUAAACGAUGGAUACUAGAUGUUGUGCUUUAUGUACAGUAUCGUAGCUAACGCGUUAAGUAUCCCGCCUGGGGAGUACGCUCGCAAGGGUGAAACUCAAAGGAAUUGACGGGGGCCCGCACAAGCGGUGGAGCAUGUGGUUUAAUUCGAUGCAACGCGAAGAACCUUACCAGGGCUUGACAUACUACGAAUUCUCUUGAAAAAGAGAAGUGCCUUCGGGAAUGUAGAUACAGGUGGUGCAUGGCUGUCGUCAGCUCGUGUCGUGAGAUGUUGGGUUAAGUCCCGCAACGAGCGCAACCCUUAUUUUUAGUUACUAAUUCGUUAGGUUCUCUAGAAAGACUGCCGGUGACAAACCGGAGGAAGGUGAGGAUGACGUCAAGUCAGCAUGCCCCUUAUGUCCUGGGCUACACACGUGCUACAAUGGUUAAGACAAAGAGUCGCGAGCUUGUAAAAGUCAGCUAAUCUCAUAAACUUAGCCUAAGUUCAGAUU
This is a ribosomal RNA of 769 nucleotides. It matches the Rfam family "Bacterial small subunit ribosomal RNA", at positions 522 to 1299 of the family's 1533-position model.